GAUGAAGAACGCAGCGAAAUGCGAUAAGUAAUGUGUAUUGCAGAAUUCAGUGAAUCAUCGAAUCUUUGAACGCACAUUGCGCCCGCCAGUAUUCUGGCGGGCAUGCCUGUUCGAGCGUCAUUUCAACCAUCAAGCCCCCGGCUUGUGUUGGGGACCUGCGGCUGCCGCAGGCCCUGAAAACCAGUGGCGGGCUCGCUAGUCACUCCGAGCGUAGUAAUACAUCUCGCUCAGGGCGUGCUGCGGGUUCCGGCCGUUAAAAAGCCUUAUUUACCCAAGGUUGACCUCGGAUCAGGUAGGAAGACCCGCUGAACUUAAGCAUAUCAAUAAGCGGAGGA
This 335-nucleotide unclassified non-coding RNA is filed under the name soil metagenome. RNAcentral's name for it is "partial contains 5.8S ribosomal RNA, internal transcribed spacer 2, and large subunit ribosomal RNA". The stretch from base 1 to 120 matches the Rfam family "5.8S ribosomal RNA", at positions 35 to 154 of the family's 154-position model. The record is from RNAcentral.